RNAcentral lists this ribosomal RNA (492 nucleotides) under uncultured bacterium. Its description in RNAcentral is "partial 16S ribosomal RNA". It matches the Rfam family "Bacterial small subunit ribosomal RNA", at positions 29 to 507 of the family's 1533-position model. The record is from RNAcentral.
AGUGAACGCUGGCGGUAGGCCUAACACAUGCAAGUCGAACGGCAGCACAGUAAGAGCUUGCUCUUACGGGUGGCGAGUGGCGGACGGGUGAGGAAUACAUCGGAAUCUACUUUUUCGUGGGGGAUAACGUAGGGAAACUUACGCUAAUACCGCAUACGACCUACGGGUGAAAGCAGGGGAUCUUCGGACCUUGCGCGAUUGAAUGAGCCGAUCUCGGAUUAGCUAGUUGGCGGGGUAAAGGCCCACCAAGGCGACGAUCCGUAGCUGGUCUGAGAGGAUGAUCAGCCACACUGGAACUGAGACACGGUCCAGACUCUGGCGGGAGGCAGCAGUGGGGAAUAUUGGACAAUGGGCGCAAGCCUGAUCCAGCCAUACCGCGUGGGUGAAGAAGGCGUUCGGGUUGUAAAGCCCUUUUGUUGGGAAAGAAAAGCAGCAGGUUAAUACCCCGCUGUUCUGACGGUACCCAAAGAAUAAGCACCGGCUAACUUCGUG